CGCGGAUGUACCCAAGUGGAUCAAGG
RNAcentral lists this transfer RNA (26 nucleotides) under Chomelia psilocarpa. Its description in RNAcentral is "partial tRNA-His". The record is from RNAcentral. Lineage: Eukaryota; Viridiplantae; Streptophyta; Magnoliopsida; Gentianales; Rubiaceae.